GGUGAUUAGUGGCGAACGGGUGAGUAACACGUGAGUAACCUGCCCUUGACUCUGGGAUAAGCCUGGGAAACUGGGUCUAAUACCGGAUAUGACCUUCCAUCGCAUGGUGGUUGGUGGAAAGCUUUUGUGGUUUUGGAUGGACUCGCGGCCUAUCAGCUUGUUGGUGGGGUAAUGGCCUACCAAGGCGACGACGGGUAGCCGGCCUGAGAGGGUGACCGGCCACACUGGGACUGAGACACGGCCCAGACUCCUACGGGAGGCAGCAGUGGGGAAUAUUGCACAAUGGGCGCAAGCCUGAUGCAGCGACGCCGCGUGAGGGAUGACGGCCUUCGGGUUGUAAACCUCUUUCAGUAGGGAAGAAGCCGUGAGGUGACGGUACCUGCAGAAGAAGCGCCGGCUAACUACGUGCCAGCAGCCGCGGUAAUACGUAGGGCGCAAGCGUUAUCCGGAAUUAUUGGGCGUAAAGAGCUCGUAGGCGGUUUGUCGCGUCUGCCGUGAAAGUCCGGGGCUCAACUCCGGAUCUGCGGUGGGUACGGGCAGACUAGAGUGAUGUAGGGGAGACUGGAAUUCCUGGUGUAGCGGUGAAAUGCGCAGAUAUCAGGAGGAACACCGAUGGCGAAGGCAGGUCUCUGGGCAUUAACUGACGCUGAGGAGCGAAAGCAUGGGGAGCGAACAGGAUUAGAUACCCUGGUAGUCCAUGCCGUAAACGUUGGGCACUAGGUGUGGGGGACAUUCCACGUUUUCCGCGCCGUAGCUAACGCAUUAAGUGCCCCGCCUGGGGAGUACGGCCGCAAGGCUAAAACUCAAAGGAAUUGACGGGGGCCCGCACAAGCGGCGGAGCAUGCGGAUUAAUUCGAUGCAACGCGAAGAACCUUACCAAGGCUUGACAUGGACCGGACCGCCGCAGAAAUGUGGUUUCCCCUUUUGGGGCUGGUUUACAGGUGGUGCAUGGUUGUCGUCAGCUCGUGUCGUGAGAUGUUGGGUUAAGUCCCGCAACGAGCGCAACCCUCGUUCUAUGUUGCCAGCACGUGAUGGUGGGGACUCAUAGGAGACUGCCGGGGUCAACUCGGAGGAAGGUGGGGACGACGUCAAAUCAUCAUGCCCCUUAUGUCUUGGGCUUCACGCAUGCUACAAUGGCCGGUACAAAGGGUUGCGAUACUGUGAGGUGGAGCUAAUCCCAAAAAGCCGGUCUCAGUUCGGAUUGGGGUCUGCAACUCGACCCCAUGAAGUCGGAGUCGCUAGUAAUCGCAGAUCAGCAACGCUGCGGUGAAUACGUUCCCGGGCCUUGUACACACCGCCCGUCAAGUCACGAAAGUUGGUAACACCCGAAGC
This 1332-nucleotide ribosomal RNA is filed under the name Pseudarthrobacter sp. RNAcentral's name for it is "bacterial SSU rRNA". It matches the Rfam family "Bacterial small subunit ribosomal RNA", at positions 87 to 1427 of the family's 1533-position model. The record is from RNAcentral. Lineage: Bacteria; Bacillati; Actinomycetota; Actinomycetes; Micrococcales; Micrococcaceae.